GAUGAACGCUGGCGGCGUGCUUAACACAUGCAAGUCGAACGAUGAAGCCCAGCUUGCUGGGUGGAUUAGUGGCGAACGGGUGAGUAACACGUGAGUAACCUGCCCUUAACUCUGGGAUAAGCCUGGGAAACUGGGUCUAAUACCGGAUAGGAGCGUCCACCGCAUGGUGGGUGUUGGAAAGAUUUAUCGGUUUUGGAUGGACUCGCGGCCUAUCAGCUUGUUGGUGAGGUAAUGGCUCACCAAGGCGACAACGGGUAGCCGGCCUGAGAGGGUGACCGGCCACACUGGGACUGAGACACGGCCCAGACUCCUACGGGAGGCAGCAGUGGGGAAUAUUGCACAAUGGGCGCAAGCCUGAUGCAGCGACGCCGCGUGAGGGAUGACGGCCUUCGGGUUGUAAACCUCUUCCAGUAGGGAAGAAGCGAAAGUGACGGUACCUGCAGAAGAAGCACCGGCUAACUACGUG
Molecule: ribosomal RNA, 466 nt
Filed under: uncultured bacterium
Lineage: Bacteria
Description: partial 16S ribosomal RNA
Rfam family: Bacterial small subunit ribosomal RNA
Source: RNAcentral